UACAGAGGUCCCAAGCGUUGUUCGGAUUCACUGGGCGUAAAGGGUGCGUAGGUGGCGAGGUAAGUCGGAUGUGAAAGCUCGGAGCUCAACUCCGAAAUGGCAUUGGAAACUACCUUGCUUGAGGGUUGGAGGGGGGACUGGAAUUCUCGGUGUAGCAGUGAAAUGCGUAGAUAUCGAGAGGAACACCAGUGGCGAAGGCGGCAUCCUGGACCGGCAUUGACGCUGAGGCGCGAAAGCUAGGGGAGCAAACGGG
This 253-nucleotide ribosomal RNA is filed under the name uncultured bacterium. RNAcentral's name for it is "partial 16S ribosomal RNA". It matches the Rfam family "Bacterial small subunit ribosomal RNA", at positions 524 to 776 of the family's 1533-position model. The record is from RNAcentral.